GGAUUAGAUACCCUGGUAAUCCCCACAGUAACGAUGGAUGACUAGACGUUGGCAGCAUGCGUUAGUAGAGCAGCUACCGCCAUUAACCUUCCCCUGGGGAGUAUCGCGCAAGGAGUUAAACUAAAAGAAAUUAAGGGGGGCCCGCACAACCGAGCGAGCAUGUGGUUUAAUUCGAGAAAAGCGAAAAAACAUUUACAGCCCUUUACAUACCAUUUCUGGUACAGAGGAUGGGCGCUUCGGUUCGGCCAGGCCGUUAACAGGGGGUGCCAUGGCUGUCGGAAACUCGUGUCAUGAGAAUUUGGGGUAAAGUCGCGCAAAGAGCGCAACCCUCGUCCCUAGUUCCCAGCAUUGAGUAGUGCACUAUAGGGAGACUGCCAGUCAUUGUAGGAGGAAGGUGGGGAUGACGUCACGACAUCCUGUUUCUUACGGGCUGGGCUACACCCGUCCUACAAUGGUGGUGACAGUGGGCACCCACUCCGCGAGGAGGAGCUAAUCUCAAAAAGCCACCUCAGUUCGGAUUGCACUCUGCAACUCGGGUGCAUGAAGUUGGAAUCGCUAGUAAUCGUGGAUCAGCAUGCCACGGUGAAUACGUUCCCGGUCCUUGUACACCCCCCCCGUCACACCAUGGGAGUUGGUUUUACCCGAAUACGGAGCGCAAAUCUUCGGGAGGCAGCUGGCCACGGUAAGAUCAGCGACUGGGGUGAAG
RNAcentral lists this ribosomal RNA (706 nucleotides) under uncultured organism. RNAcentral's name for it is "bacterial SSU rRNA". It matches the Rfam family "Bacterial small subunit ribosomal RNA", at positions 775 to 1485 of the family's 1533-position model. The record is from RNAcentral.